Molecule: ribosomal RNA, 450 nt
Filed under: uncultured Glomeromycotina
Lineage: Eukaryota; Fungi; Glomeromycota
Description: SSU rRNA
Rfam family: Eukaryotic small subunit ribosomal RNA
Source: RNAcentral
AGCAGCCGCGGUAAUUCCAGCUCCAAUAGCGUAUAUUAAAGUUGCUGCAGUUAAAAAGCUCGUAGCUGAAUUUCGGGACCAUCAUGUUGGUCGUGCCUAGGUACGUACUGGCAUUGUUGGUUUCUCCCUUCUGACGAACCAUGAUGUCAUUUAUUUGGUGUCGUGGGAAAUCAGGACUGUUACUUUGAAAAAAUUAGAGUGUUUAAAGCAGGCUCACGCUUGAAUACAUUAGCAUGGAAUAAUGAAAUAGGACGUUUGAUUCUAUUUUGUUGGUUUCUAGGAUCGACGUAAUGAUUAAUAGGGAUAGUUGGGGGCAUUAGUAUUCAAUUGUCAGAGGUGAAAUUCUUGGAUUUAUUGAAGACUAACUACUGCGAAAGCAUUUGCCAAGGAUGUUUUCAUUAAUCAAGAACGAAAGUUAGGGGAUCGAAGACGAUCAGAUACCGUCGUAGU